Cercocebus atys (sooty mangabey) is the source of this 90-nucleotide small nuclear RNA. Its record names the gene U4. It matches the Rfam family "U4 spliceosomal RNA". From Rfam's summary of the family: U4 small nuclear RNA (U4 snRNA) is a component of the major U2-dependent spliceosome. NCBI's taxonomy places the organism in Eukaryota, Metazoa, Chordata, Mammalia, Primates, Cercopithecidae. The record is from Ensembl.
AGCUUUGCGCAGUGGCAGUAUCGUAGCCAAUGAGGUUUAUCGGAGGCGCGAUUAUUGCUAAUUGAGAAUUGAGGAGUCAUAUAAAAACAC